GAACUCUUACAGCAAUUAAAUCAACUCCACUCAUUGAAAAAACCGAGUUCUG
RNAcentral lists this non-coding RNA (52 nucleotides) under Tieghemostelium lacteum. RNAcentral describes it as "Dictyostelium lacteum Class I RNA from Dictyostelium". It matches the Rfam family "Class I RNA from Dictyostelium". Lineage: Eukaryota; Evosea; Eumycetozoa; Dictyosteliales; Raperosteliaceae. The record is from Rfam by way of RNAcentral.